GUUUGCAUGAUUGUAAUUGUAAUUCAUUGUAAGGUCCAGAUAAUAUGUAUAUGUUUGCAUGACUUGUAAUUGUAAUUCAUUGUAAGGUCCAGAUAAUCUGUAUAUGUUUGCAUGACUUGUAAUUGUGUGAUUCAUUGUAAGGUCCAGAUAAUAUGUAUAUGUUUGCAUGACUUGUAAUUGUAAUUCAUUGUAAGGUCCAGAUAAUCU
Long non-coding RNA from Haliotis rubra (blacklip abalone), 207 nucleotides. RefSeq lists it as uncharacterized. The record is from RefSeq and is a predicted model, not a curated record. The transcript has 3 exons. NCBI's taxonomy places the organism in Eukaryota, Metazoa, Mollusca, Gastropoda, Lepetellida, Haliotidae.